This 250-nucleotide ribosomal RNA is filed under the name uncultured bacterium. RNAcentral describes it as "partial 16S ribosomal RNA". It matches the Rfam family "Bacterial small subunit ribosomal RNA", at positions 524 to 773 of the family's 1533-position model. The record is from RNAcentral.
UACGGAGGGUGCAAGCGUUGCUCGGAAUUACUGGGCGUAAAGCAUACGCAGGCGGGCCGUUAAGUCGAGUGUGAAAGCCCGGGGCUCAACCCCGGAACUGCAUUCGAAACUGGCGGUCUUGAGUACGGGAGAGGGAAGUGGAAUUCCUGGUGUAGAGGUGAAAUUCGUAGAUAUCAGGAGGAACACCUGUGGCGAAAGCGGCUUCCUGGCCCGAUACUGACGCUCAUGUAUGAAAGCGUGGGGAGCAAAC